AUGAGGCUUCAAAAGCCAGAUCAGUGGCAUCUUAUGUACAUGUAAUUAGAACAAGAGGUAGACAAAAUCAACGGUACAUGUAAAUAGUUCAUGAGGUAUGGUGUAUGUGGUGUCAUAGGAACAUGCUACAGUCAUGUAAAAAAGUUCACGAGUUAGGCAACAUCGUAGGUACAUGUAAAGUUCUCGAGUUAGGCAACAUCGUAGGUACAUGUAAAGUUCUCGAGGUAGGCGGCAUCAUAGGUGCCUGUGAAAAGUUCACGAGGUAGGCGGCAUCAUAGGUGCCUGUGAAAAGUUCACGAGGUAGUCGGUAUCAUAGAUACAUUUAAAUAGUUCUCGAGGUAGGCGGCAUCAUAGAUACAUUUAAAUAGUUCACGAGGUAGGCGGCAUCAUAGAUACAUUUAAAUAGUUCACGAGGUAGGCGGCAUCACAGAUACAUUUAAAUAGUUCACGAGGUAGGCGGCAUCACAGGUACAUGUGAAUAAUUCACGAGGUAGGCGGCAUAAUAGGUAUAUGUAAAUAGUUCAUGUGGUAGGCAGCUUCAUAUGAACAUGUAAAUUAAUCAUGAGGCAGGUGCAUUAUAUAUUCAUGUACAUAUUUCACGAGACAGUGACAUCAUAGGUACAUGUAAAUAGAGAAUGAGUUAGGCGGCAUCAAAUGAUCAUGUAAAUGGUUCAUGAAGUUGGCGGCAUCAGAAGUACAUGUGAAUAAUUCAUGAGGUAAGCGGCAUCAUAGGUUAAAAGCUCAUGAGAUAGCCGAGUAAAAAAAAAUGAACAGAUAUAUCUUCAAAGAGAAACCAUUUUUUUAUCUGAAGCAUUUGAACUGUUUUACAUUUUGUUACACAUGACAUUGUGUGUUGACAGGUAAAAUGUGUUUCUAUUGCUGCUAAUCCACAUAACCGAAAACAAUCAUUAUAAGGCUUAGCGUUUUUUAACUGAACAAAAAGACAACUUAUUCAUCGACGAUUUGACACGAUACUUAUUCGAUAAAGUUCAAUUGAAGGUUACCAACUUUUCAAGGACCAUACCCUUCUGAAGAAUACACUUUACCCCAAGGAUUGACAUGUUUUAAGAAGUAUAAUAACAUACUUCAGACCUCCCUCGUUUGGCGGUGAAGACCGUUGUUAAAACUGGAUGUCCCUCUGGCGUUCCUGGAUGUAUAGAUACGCAGUCAUGCCCGAUUGGAAUGCUCUCUUAAGUUACGACAACUCUUUGCGGCUUUCAUAAGUGUUCUGUUGCAUCGCAAAAUUUGUGUCUCUAUCCAACAACAUUUUUCAGUGGCAGUUUAGGCCCUUCAUCCCAGUUGAUAUUCUUUAUCAAAUUGAAUUAUUGCAUUAAUGUUUUAUUUUUUCUCGAUCUGAAUAUGAUAAAAUAU
Long non-coding RNA from Mytilus californianus (California mussel), 1371 nucleotides. RefSeq lists it as uncharacterized. Lineage: Eukaryota; Metazoa; Mollusca; Bivalvia; Mytilida; Mytilidae. The record is from RefSeq and is a predicted model, not a curated record. The transcript is spliced from 4 exons.